GAUGAACGCUGGCGGCGUGCUUAACACAUGCAAGUCGAACGGUGAAGCAGGAGCUUGCUCCUGUGGAUCAGUGGCGAACGGGUGAGUAACACGUGAGCAAUCUGCCCUGGACUCUGGGAUAAGCGUUGGAAACGACGUCUAAUACCGGAUACGAGGCGUGGGGGCAUCCCCAACGCCUGGAAAGAACUUCGGUCCAGGAUGAGCUCGCGGCCUAUCAGGUAGUUGGUGAGGUAACGGCUCACCAAGCCUACGACGGGUAGCCGGCCUGAGAGGGUGACCGGCCACACUGGGACUGAGACACGGCCCAGACUCCUACGGGAGGCAGCAGUGGGGAAUAUUGCACAAUGGGCGCAAGCCUGAUGCAGCAACGCCGCGUGAGGGACGACGGCCUUCGGGUUGUAAACCUCUUUUAGCAGGGAAGAAGCGAAAGUGACGGUACCUGCAGAAAAAGCACCGGCUAACUACGUGCCAGCCGCCGCCGUAA
Molecule: ribosomal RNA, 484 nt
Filed under: uncultured bacterium
Lineage: Bacteria
Description: partial 16S ribosomal RNA
Rfam family: Bacterial small subunit ribosomal RNA
Source: RNAcentral